GGGAUAACACUGGGAAACAGGUGCUAAUACCGUAUAACACUAUUUUCCGCAUGGAAGAAAGUUGAAAGGCGCUUUUGCGUCACUGAUGGAUGGACCCGCGGUGCAUUAGCUAGUUGGUGAGGUAACGGCUCACCAAGGCCACGAUGCAUAGCCGACCUGAGAGGGUGAUCGGCCACACUGGGACUGAGACACGGCCCAGACUCCUACGGGAGGCAGCAGUAGGGAAUCUUCGGCAAUGGACGAAAGUCUGACCGAGCAACGCCGCGUGAGUGAAGAAGGUUUUCGGAUCGUAAAACUCUGUUGUUAGAGAAGAACAAGGAUGAGAGUAAAAUGUUCAUCCCUUGACGGUAUCUAACCAGAAAGCCACGGCUAACUACGUGCCAGCAGCCGCGGUAAUACGUAGGUGGCAAGCGUUGUCCGGAUUUAUUGGGCGUAAAGCGAGCGCAGGCGGUUUCUUAAGUCUGAUGUGAAAGCCCCCGGCUCAACCGGGGAGGGUCAUUGGAAACUGGGAGACUUGAGUGCAGAAGAGGAGAGUGGAAUUCCAUGUGUAGCGGUGAAAUGCGUAGAUAUAUGGAGGAACACCAGUGGCGAAGGCGGCUCUCUGGUCUGUAACUGACGCUGAGGCUCGAAAGCGUGGGGAGCGAACAGGAUUAGAUACCCUGGUAGUCCACGCCGUAAACGAUGAGUAAUAAGUGUUGGAGGGUUUCCGCCCUUCAGUGCUGCAGCA
RNAcentral lists this ribosomal RNA (727 nucleotides) under uncultured bacterium. RNAcentral describes it as "bacterial SSU rRNA". It matches the Rfam family "Bacterial small subunit ribosomal RNA", at positions 140 to 853 of the family's 1533-position model. The record is from RNAcentral.